RNAcentral lists this ribosomal RNA (507 nucleotides) under Scinax littoreus. RNAcentral describes it as "partial 12S small subunit ribosomal RNA". It matches the Rfam family "Bacterial small subunit ribosomal RNA", at positions 778 to 1522 of the family's 1533-position model. Lineage: Eukaryota; Metazoa; Chordata; Amphibia; Anura; Hylidae. The record is from RNAcentral.
AUAGAUACCCCACUAUGCCUAGCCGUUGACCAUAACUUACACCCAAAUCGCCAGGGAAUUACGAGCGAAAGCUUAAAACCCAAAGGACUUGACGGUACCCCAUAUCCACCUAGAGGAGCCUGUCCUAUAAUCGAUAAUCCACGUUUAACCUCACCACUUUUAGCCUAUCAGUCUGUAUACCUCCGUCGUCAGCUUACCACGUGAGCGACCAUAGUGAGCUUAAUGUCCAUCCGUCAAAACGUCAGGUCAAGGUGCAGCUUACAAAGUGGGAAGAGAUGGGCUACAUUCUCUAAUCUAGAAAAUACGAAAGACUACUUAUGAAACCUGGUCGGAAGGCGGAUUUAGAAGUAAAAAGAGAUAAGAAAACUCUUUUUAACCCGGCACUGGGGUGUGUACACACCGCCCGUCACCCUCCUCAAAGCCGAUAGAGCAGUAUUUAACUCAUUUAAGCAAGAUAGAAGAGGCAAGUCGUAACAUGGUAAGCGCACCGGAAGGUGAGCUUGGAAA